ACUCCUACGGGAGGCAGCAGUGGGGAAUAUUGCACAAUGGGCGCAAGCCUGAUGCAGCCAUGCCGCGUGUAUGAAGAAGGCCUUCGGGUUGUAAAGUACUUUCAGCAGUGAGGAAGGUGGGUAUGUUAAUAGCAUAUUCAUUUGACGUUAGCUGCAGAAGAAGCACCGGCUAACUCCGUGCCAGCAGCCGCGGUAAUACGGAGGGUGCGAGCGUUAAUCGGAAUUACUGGGCGUAAAGCGACAUGCAGGUGGUUUGUUAAGUCAGAUGUGAAAGCCCGGGGCUCAACCUCGGAAUUGCAUUUGAAACUGGCAAACUAGAGUACUGUAGAGGGGGUAGGAAAUUUCAGGUGUAGCGGUGAAAUGCGUAGAGAUCUGAAGGAAU
Molecule: ribosomal RNA, 382 nt
Filed under: uncultured bacterium
Lineage: Bacteria
Description: bacterial SSU rRNA
Rfam family: Bacterial small subunit ribosomal RNA
Source: RNAcentral